GACAGCUGCAGAGGGGCUCACUCCUCCCACGGCACAGCACGGCACAGCACGGCACGGCACGGCACGGCACGGCACGGCUCCGCCACGCACCCCCGCAAAGUUCUUUACCCCAGAAACUGCUGCAGAGUGCCUUAGGAUAUGUUUCUGCUGUUACUUCUAAACACCUGGAAAAAAUUAUAGGGGAAGCGUGACUCAAGCCGUCUGUCACUGAGCAGAACUGCUGAGAGGGGAUGGCUGCUCAUUUCCAGACCCUUCCAGGCCUUGGGAAAACUCUGACAGCAGUGAGGUGCUUGGCUAAAAACUGCAUGUCAUGGGUUUGUGAGCAACAUAUAAAAUGCUGUGUGCAUACAUGUUUAUAUACCUAAAAUUAUAUAACAUAUAUACACACAUAUAUAUGUAUGUAUACAGAUCCAUAUAUAUAAUCUAUACUUUUAAUUUUUUUUACACACCAAACCAGCAGUCUGUGUUUUGGCAGAUGUUUUGCGAACUGUCUCAGUAUGGGAUGGAAAAUAAAAGAAUCUUUAUACGUGGUAUCUAACGUUAGAAACUUCCAAUGAUACACUACACCACAUUUCCACUUAUUCCAAAUUUUCCUCGGUGCUCAUUUUUAAAUUUAAACAAUCUACAUGAAAAACACUAUCCUCUUUUUUUUUUUUCCUCCUGAAACCUCUUCUCUCUUCUGCUUGCUUCAGUUUUAAAUGUUUGCUUACAAAAGAAAGGAAAAAAACCCACCAAAACCCAACCACCUUCAAAUAAAUGCUUUUAAAUGCACUAACAGCAUUAAUUUUCCAGAAUAAAUCUUUCACUGCAAAGGGCAGUUCUUCCUCUUGAUGUUUGAAACACCGAGAGAAAUACAUACUUGGGAAUGUUUGGUGGGUCUCGGUUGCUCAAAAGCAAGAUGUAAAUUUAAUGAGACUUCAAAAGGUCUUUAACUUCCUCGUUCUAAGAUCACCGUUCUAAAUAAGCCACCUAAAAUGUCAAUAAACGUCAAAUAUUUCAG
Long non-coding RNA from Pseudopipra pipra, 1000 nucleotides. RefSeq lists it as uncharacterized. Lineage: Eukaryota; Metazoa; Chordata; Aves; Passeriformes; Pipridae. The transcript has 3 exons. The record is from RefSeq and is a predicted model, not a curated record.